ACGUAGGGGGCAAGCGUUAUCCGGAUUUACUGGGUGUAAAGGGAGCGUAGACGGUGUGGCAAGUCUGAUGUGAAAGGCAUGGGCUCAACCUGUGGACUGCAUUGGAAACUGUCAUACUUGAGUGCCGGAGGGGUAAGCGGAAUUCCUAGUGUAGCGGUGAAAUGCGUAGAUAUUAGGAGGAACACCAGUGGCGAAGGCGGCUUGCUGGACGGUAACUGACGUUGAGGCUCGAAAGCGUGGGGAGCAAACAG
This 251-nucleotide ribosomal RNA is filed under the name uncultured bacterium. RNAcentral's name for it is "partial 16S ribosomal RNA". It matches the Rfam family "Bacterial small subunit ribosomal RNA", at positions 525 to 775 of the family's 1533-position model. The record is from RNAcentral.